This 386-nucleotide ribosomal RNA is filed under the name uncultured bacterium. Its description in RNAcentral is "bacterial SSU rRNA". It matches the Rfam family "Bacterial small subunit ribosomal RNA", at positions 30 to 417 of the family's 1533-position model. The record is from RNAcentral.
AUUGAACGCUGGCGGCAUGCCUUACACAUGCAAGUCGAACGGCAGCACGGGAGCAAUCCUGGUGGCGAGUGGCGAACGGGUGAGUAAUAUAUCGGAACGUGCCCAGUCGUGGGGAUAACGUAGCGAAAGCUACGCUAAUACCGCAUACGAUCUAUGGAUGAAAGCGGGGGAUCGCAAGACCUCGCGCGAUUGGAGCGGCCGAUAUCAGAUUAGGUAGUUGGUGAGGUAAAGGCUCGCCAAGCCGACGAUCUGUAGCUGGUCUGAGAGGACGACCAGCCACACUGGGACUGAGACAGGCCCAGACUCCUACGGGAGGCAGCAGUGGGGAAUUUUUGGACAAUGGGCGCAAGCCUGAUCCAGCAAUGCCGCGUGCAGGAUGAAGGCCU